Molecule: ribosomal RNA, 489 nt
Filed under: uncultured bacterium
Lineage: Bacteria
Description: partial 16S ribosomal RNA
Rfam family: Bacterial small subunit ribosomal RNA
Source: RNAcentral
GAUGAACGCUAGCGGCAGGCUUAAUACAUGCAAGUCGAGGGGCAGCAGGACUGUAGCAAUACAGUUGCUGGCGACCGGCAAACGGGUGCGGAACACGUACGCAACCUACCCAAAACUGGGGGAUAGCCCGGGGAAACCCGGAUUAAUACCUCGUAACCUUUUUAAGUGGCAUCACUUGAUAAGUAUAGCUCCGGCGGUUUUGGAUGGGCGUGCGCCUGAUUAGGUAGUUGGUGCGGGUAACGGCCCACCAAGCCUGCGAUCAGUAACUGGUGUGAGAGCACGACCAGUCACACGGGCACUGGGACACGGGCCCGACUCCUACGGGAGGCAGCAGUAAGGAAUAUUGGCCAAUGGACGCAAGUCUGAACCAGCCAUGCCGCGUGAAGGAUGAAGGUCCUCUGGAUUGUAAACUUCUUUUAUGGGGGACGAAACCCGGAUAUUCUUAUCCGAUUGACGGUACCUCAGGAAUAAGCACCGGCUAACUCCGUG